This 1528-nucleotide long non-coding RNA is filed under the name Cottoperca gobio. RNAcentral's name for it is "lncRNA (ENSCGOG00000001139.1)". The record is from RNAcentral. Lineage: Eukaryota; Metazoa; Chordata; Actinopteri; Perciformes; Bovichtidae.
AGCUGGAAUAACUCAUUUGUGUUGCAGGUAUCAGUUGCUCUGGGGCUCAAUGCUUUCCUCCUACAUCCCCUCAUAACACACUACACGCUCCAGCUUGUUCUGGACUCAGGACUCGACGUGUGUGGUCUGCGGCUCCUUUAUCCACCACAGAGGUUCCUGAGUGACAGAGCUGGUAGGACAUAACUAACUGGUCAUAAAGUAUUUAAUAACUCUUCUUCUGGCUCAUUGGUCUGGUGGGCCUCCUGGAUCCAACUGUGGCCUCAGGCCUUUGUCAGUGUCUUCAUUGAGUCUUUAAAAAGUCUCCCUCUGAUUCAUAGAUGCUGUACCGGUUCUCCAGAGAACUGAUGAGACCUGCCAGCCUGUUCUUGCCCUUGCUGUUCGCGGCCUUCAUGCCCACAAAGUGUUGGAAGAUUUAACUAGUUCCUUAGAUCUGCUGCUCAGAAAGGCAGAUCUCAACCCUCUCCACUGCAGAGGUCAAGAGUCUCCACUCUUCUACUCCCCCCGACUGGCCGGUGGGGUCCACAGGGAGCUGUGUUUGUGGUUUUCAGGAAGACUUCGAGGAGGAAGUGCACAGAAUCACAACCGGUCUCUGAAGAGGUUUGUUGUCAAAGCAUCAUUAAGUCUACUUCAUUGAACUUUUUUAAAGCUGGGCUGUCAAGAAGAUACAUUUCACUCAUACAACUGGGAAUUGAAAAUAUACAGUGCAACUAAUUAAAUUGACUCAUUUAAGUAUUAGACUGUUGCAGACAGAUGUUAGAGCAUUAGGACGUUCUGUAACUCAAAUCCCUUAAAGCCAAGAGGAUUUACUAAGUACAUACUAAAACAUAUUACCUUUAUUACUGUGACACAGUUUUAUUUUCACUUUUGUUUGUAGAGCUGUGCCUUCAGAUGACACACUCAGCGGCAGCCUGUUCAAUACAAGCCGAUCACCUUCCUUUCUGUGCGCUACAACGAAAGGUACCGUCUCUCAACGAGGAGCCGAAACUGUCUUCUGUCACAUUUCAUAUUCAAUGUUCUUCUUUACGUUCCCCCCCCCCCCCCCCCCCCCCGCACAGCUGACUUACUCCUCGUGGUGUCGCCUGCCGUGCCUCCAUGUUUCUACGGCCAAGUGCUGACUGUUUGUGAACGCAGAGGCUUCAGUGUGAGGGGGCUGCAGAGGCUGCGGCUGCAGAGCGAUGGAGCUGCUGUCCUUGGCCUCUCCAACCUGCAGGCACCUGUAUUCUGCAGUUCACAUACUCUGACCCCGGGUCAGGGUCAGCUGGAGCUGCCCUCCCACUGUCUGGUGUUGUUACUGAGGAAAGAAAAUGCAGUGCACCACAGUGUUAGUCUGUCAGCAGGUCUGAAUUACAUCUCAAAUGAUAUCUACGGCGUAAUAAUCACCAUAAAUCAUAUUUAAAAGUAAAUAUAAUGUGGAAGGUCUGCAUUACAGUGAAAUAACCUUGCAGUUGCUUUAUUGUUUCAGCCCUAAUGAGAGAACUUAAGGCAGAAAAGCUUCUGGGUUGCCUCCCCCCCAGACCUGACGGUGUUC